CAGCCGCCGCGGGAAAACCGAGGGUGCAAGCGUUAAUCGGAAUUACUGGGCGUAAAGCGCGCGUAGGUGGUUUGUUAAGUUGGAUGUGAAAUCCCCGGGCUCAACCUGGGAACUGCAUCCAAAACUGGCAAGCUAGAGUAUGGUAGAGGGUGGUGGAAUUUCCUGUGUAGCGGUGAAAUGCGUAGAUAUAGGAAGGAACACCAGUGGCGAAGGCGACCAACUGGACUGAUACUGACACUGAGGUGCGAAAGCGUGGGGAGCAAACAGGAUUAGAUACCCCUGUAGUCCCUGUCUCUUAUAC
Molecule: ribosomal RNA, 301 nt
Filed under: uncultured bacterium
Lineage: Bacteria
Description: partial 16S ribosomal RNA
Rfam family: Bacterial small subunit ribosomal RNA
Source: RNAcentral